RNAcentral lists this ribosomal RNA (253 nucleotides) under uncultured bacterium. RNAcentral describes it as "partial 16S ribosomal RNA". It matches the Rfam family "Bacterial small subunit ribosomal RNA", at positions 524 to 776 of the family's 1533-position model. The record is from RNAcentral.
UACGGAGGAGGCAAGCGUUAUCCGGAAUUAUUGGGCGUAAAGCGUUCGUAGGUGGUUUAGUAAGUCUGCUGUUAAAGCGCGGGGCUUAACUCCGUAUCGGCAGUGGAAACUACUAGACUAGAGUGUGGUAGGGGUAGAGGGAAUUCCCAGUGUAGCGGUGAAAUGCGUAGAUAUCAGUCGGAACACCCAUGGCGAAGGCAGCUAUCUGGGCUAACACUGACGCUGAGGUGCGAAAGCGUGGGGAGCGAACGGG